UAGAACUCGCUCAUUCACAACCGGGUAGAAUGGAACAGUUAAAAAGUUAUGGAGAUGAUAUUGAAGGAAAUUCGGGACAAAUGAGCAGCACCUCUCAGCCCGUGGUUGGACCAGACAGUUGGCCACUGCAAGUUCUGAACCAGCAACCAAGAGAUCUUUCUUCUCUUCUUCAAAAACUCCAUUCAGGAGAAAUGGUACAUGAGGCUGUUGCUUGAGGGUGCAAGGAGCAGCAACGACAAAUUGAGAUGAAGCUUAUGUUAGGGAACAUACCACAUCUUCUGGAACUUCUAUGGUCCUGGAUUUCACCUUCAGAAGAUGAUCAAAAUGUCUUCAGGCCUUAUGGUGAUCCUCAGAUGAUCUGAUUUGGUGCACAUCUAGUGCUUGUGCUUAGAUAUUUACUUACUGAUGAAAUGAAGAAUCCUAUUAGGGAGGAGCUUAUGAUUGUUGGUGAUCACAUUAUACACAUGUAUGCGAUGUUUUUGUUUUCGAAGCAACAUGAGGAAUUGGUUGGGAUUUAUUCUUCCCAGCUUGCACGCCG
This is a long non-coding RNA of Pistacia vera, 538 nucleotides long. RefSeq lists it as uncharacterized. The record is from RefSeq and is a predicted model, not a curated record. Lineage: Eukaryota; Viridiplantae; Streptophyta; Magnoliopsida; Sapindales; Anacardiaceae. The transcript is spliced from 5 exons.